GCCGGGGUAGCUCAAUCGGUAGAGCGUGUGGCUCUUAGCAUUCUAAUGCGAAACCUCAAGGUCGUGGGUUCGAGCCCCACCUUCGGCU
This is a transfer RNA of 88 nucleotides. It matches the Rfam family "tRNA". Rfam says of the family: Transfer RNA (tRNA) molecules are approximately 80 nucleotides in length. The record is from Rfam.